This 352-nucleotide small RNA is filed under the name Pongo abelii (Sumatran orangutan). Its description in RNAcentral is "processed transcript". Lineage: Eukaryota; Metazoa; Chordata; Mammalia; Primates; Hominidae. The record is from RNAcentral.
CAAUGUGCUGAGCUCUGGGGAUCAUUGAGGAAGAAUUCAGACAAGUUCCUGCUGUCACGGAACUUACAUCCCAGCAAGGAGGAAUACAGACAACAAAGUAAAACACCUGGGGAGGAGUGGAGACAGAUACUAGUACAUUGGAGAAGCUCAAGUCCUCCGGAUGCAUUCAAGCCAGAACACAGAGGAGAAGACAUCGAAGCCGAGGGCAGAGAGCUGAAGGGCCCUAACACCUGUGCCUGCAUUGCUCAAGAGCAGCCCCAAGGGUUCAGGGGUGUUUCUGUCUCCACCACCUUCACAGCAGUACCUGAUUCCCUACCAUGAAAACUCUACUAAAUAAAACCGUCUUCCCUGA